This 262-nucleotide ribosomal RNA is filed under the name uncultured Clostridium sp. RNAcentral's name for it is "partial 16S ribosomal RNA". It matches the Rfam family "Bacterial small subunit ribosomal RNA", at positions 79 to 339 of the family's 1533-position model. Lineage: Bacteria; Bacillati; Bacillota; Clostridia; Eubacteriales; Clostridiaceae. The record is from RNAcentral.
UUCGGGAGUGAAGCUAGCGGCGGACGGGUGAGUAACACGUGGGCAACCUGCCUCAUAGAGGGGAAUAGCCUUCCGAAAGGAAGAUUAAUACCGCAUAAGAUUGUAGCUUCGCAUGAAGUAGCAAUUAAAGGAGCAAUCCGCUAUGAGAUGGGCCCGCGGCGCAUUAGCUAGUUGGUGAGGUAACGGCUCACCAAGGCGACGAUGCGUAGCCGACCUGAGAGGGUGAUCGGCCACAUUGGGACUGAGACACGGCCCAGACUCC